This 886-nucleotide ribosomal RNA is filed under the name Phaeocollybia scatesiae. RNAcentral's name for it is "eukaryotic LSU rRNA". It matches the Rfam family "Eukaryotic large subunit ribosomal RNA", at positions 64 to 937 of the family's 3401-position model. The record is from RNAcentral. Lineage: Eukaryota; Fungi; Basidiomycota; Agaricomycetes; Agaricales; Phaeocollybiaceae.
ACUAACAGGAUUCCCCUAGUAACUGCGAGUGAAGAGGGAAAAGCUCAAAUUUAAAAUCUGGCUUCCUUAGGUUGUCCGAGUUGUAAUCUAGAGAAGUGUCAUCCGCGCCGGACCGUGUACAAGUCUCCUGGAACGGAGCGUCGUAGAGGGUGAGAAUCCCGUCUUUGACACGGACUACCGGGGCUUUGUGAUGCGCUCUCAAAGAGUCGAGUUGUUUGGGAAUGCAGCUCAAAAUGGGUGGUAAAUUCCAUCUAAAGCUAAAUAUUGGCGAGAGACCGAUAGCGAACAAGUACCGUGAGGGAAAGAUGAAAAGAACUUUGGAAAGAGAGUUAAACAGUACGUGAAAUUGCUGAAAGGGAAACGCUUGAAGUCAGUCGCGUUGGUCGAGAAUCAGCCUUGCUUUUGCAUGGCUUAUUUCACGGUUCAACGGGUCAGCAUCAAUUUUGACCAUUGGAUAAAGAUGAGAGGAAUGUGGCAUCUUUAGAUGUGUUAUAGCCUCUUGUUGCAUGCAGUGGUUGGGAUUGAGGAACUCAGCACGCCGCAAGGCCGGGAGUAAUCCACGUUCGUGCUUAGGAUGCUGGCAUAAUGGCUUUAAUCGACCCGUCUUGAAACACGGACCAAGGAGUCUAACAUGCCUGCAAGUGUUUGGGUGUAAAACCCAUGCGCGUAAUGAAAGUGAAAGUUGAGAUCCCUGUCGUGGGGAGCAUCGACGCCCGGACCAGACCUUUUGUGACGGAUCCGCGGUAGAGCAUGUAUGUUGGGACCCGAAAGAUGGUGAACUAUGCCUGAAUAGGGUGAAGCCAGAGGAAACUCUGGUGGAGGCUCGUAGCGAUUCUGACGUGCAAAUCGAUCGUCAAAUUUGGGUAUAGGGGCGAAAGACUAAUCG